This is a long non-coding RNA of Leopardus geoffroyi (Geoffroy's cat), 131 nucleotides long. RefSeq lists it as uncharacterized. The transcript has 3 exons. NCBI's taxonomy places the organism in Eukaryota, Metazoa, Chordata, Mammalia, Carnivora, Felidae. The record is from RefSeq and is a predicted model, not a curated record.
AGGCAGAGAGAGAGAAUUUCAAGCAGAUUCUGCGCUGUCGGCAUGGAGUUCAAUAUGGGGCUCAAACCCACGAACUGUGAGAUCAUGACCUAAGCUGAAACCAAGAGGUGGACGCUUAACCAACUGAGCCA